UACGUAGGGUGCGAGCGUUAAUCGGAAUUACUGGGCGUAAAGCGUGCGCAGGCGGUUUUGUAAGCCAGAGGUGAAAUCCCCGGGCUUAACCUGGGAAUGGCAUUUGGGACUGCAAGGCUCGAGUGCGGCAGAGGAGACUGGAAUUCCUGGUGUAGCAGUGAAAUGCGUAGAUAUCAGGAGGAACACCGAUGGCGAAGGCAGGUCUCUGGGCUGACACUGACGCUCAUGCACGAAAGCGUGGGGAGCAAACAGG
This 253-nucleotide ribosomal RNA is filed under the name uncultured bacterium. RNAcentral describes it as "partial 16S ribosomal RNA". It matches the Rfam family "Bacterial small subunit ribosomal RNA", at positions 524 to 776 of the family's 1533-position model. The record is from RNAcentral.